GUAGGGAAUAUUGCGCAAUGGACGAAAGUCUGACGCAGCGACGCCGCGUGAGUGAUGAAGGCCUUAGGGUCGUAAAGCUCUGUUGAAUGGGAAGAAAAAAAUGACGGUACCAUUCGAGGAAGGACCGGCUAACUUCGUGCCAGCAGCCGCGGUAAUACGAGGGGUCCUAGCGUUGUUCGGAAUCAUUGGGCGUAAAGGGUGUGUAGGUGGCCAUAUAAGUCAGGUGUGAAAGCCCCGGGCUCAACCCGGGAAGUGCACUUGAUACUGCGUGGCUUGAGUACCGAAGAGGGUAGUGGAAUUCCAGGUGUAGUGGUGAAAUACGUAGAUAUCUGGAGGAACACCGGUGGCGAAGGCGGCUACCUGGUCGAGUACUGACACUGAGACACGAAAGCAUGGGGAUCAAACAGGAUUAGAUACCCUGGUAGUCC
Molecule: ribosomal RNA, 428 nt
Filed under: uncultured bacterium
Lineage: Bacteria
Description: partial 16S ribosomal RNA
Rfam family: Bacterial small subunit ribosomal RNA
Source: RNAcentral